Molecule: ribosomal RNA, 226 nt
Filed under: Salmonella enterica subsp. enterica serovar Agona
Lineage: Bacteria; Pseudomonadati; Pseudomonadota; Gammaproteobacteria; Enterobacterales; Enterobacteriaceae
Description: partial 16S ribosomal RNA
Rfam family: Bacterial small subunit ribosomal RNA
Source: RNAcentral
GGUGCCUUCGGGAACUGUGAGACAGGUGCUGCAUGGCUGUCGUCAGCUCGUGUUGUGAAAUGUUGGGUUAAGUCCCGCAACGAGCGCAACCCUUAUCCUUUGUUGCCAGCGAUUAGGUCGGGAACUCAAAGGAGACUGCCAGUGAUAAACUGGAGGAAGGUGGGGAUGACGUCAAGUCAUCAUGGCCCUUACGACCAGGGCUACACACGUGCUACAAUGGCGCAUA